This 93-nucleotide ribosomal RNA is filed under the name Chinchilla lanigera (long-tailed chinchilla). The record is from RNAcentral. Lineage: Eukaryota; Metazoa; Chordata; Mammalia; Rodentia; Chinchillidae.
GUCUACAGCCAGACCACCCUGAAAAUGCUCAGUUUUGUCUGAUCUUGGAAGGUAAGCAGGGUCGGGCCUGGUUAGUCCUUGGAUGGGAAGAUA